Small nucleolar RNA from Solea solea (common sole), 82 nucleotides. RefSeq annotates it as small nucleolar RNA SNORD34. Lineage: Eukaryota; Metazoa; Chordata; Actinopteri; Pleuronectiformes; Soleidae. The record is from RefSeq and is a predicted model, not a curated record. The transcript has a single exon.
GGCUGUCUGUGAUGUCUUAAACUUCCUUACCUACCUUGUUUGAAUGACCUCUGAAAACAACAAUCUAACAACUGAGACAUGC